Molecule: ribosomal RNA, 253 nt
Filed under: uncultured bacterium
Lineage: Bacteria
Description: partial 16S ribosomal RNA
Rfam family: Bacterial small subunit ribosomal RNA
Source: RNAcentral
UACGUAGGGUGCGAGCGUUGUCCGGAAUUAUUGGUCGUAAAGGGCUCGUAGGCGGUUUGUCGCGUCGGGAGUGAAAUCCACUGGCUUAACUGGUGGCUUGCUUUCGAUACGGGCAGACUGGAGGUAUGCAGGGUAGAACGGAAUUCCUGGUGUAGCGGUGAAAUGCGCAGAUAUCAGGAGGAACACCGGUGGCGAAGGCGGUUCUCUGGGCAUGUCCUGACGCUGAGGAGCGAAAGUGUGGGGAGCGAACAGG